UAAAACGGGACAGAAAUUGAUUAAAAUCAAUACGCCAUCAAUUGUUUGGAAGCCUUCAUGCAGAAUUUAUAUUUAUAUCUGGGACUCGCUUCCUAUAGAUAAUUAUUAGUUUUAUUUUUUACAGAAAAAUCGAACUACUUGGAUCUGUUUAAUAAAGUCUUCCAGAAUAGAAGUUGUCCGUGAUUAUAUUGUUCAUGUUGUUUUUAUGAAUAAAAAUUGGUUGGGAAUGCAGUCAUUAUGAUUUGAACAUCAAAUUUUAAGAGUCACGUGAUCAUUAUGUUUGACUAUGGUGACUGAGGACUAUAUUUGGAUGGUGCUAGUCAUAUUAUGUUUUGUCGAUGUUUUAUCAGCUUCUGGAUGUAAAUGGAGUAAUGAAGGUUGCUUUUCAAACUCAGAAUGUUGCAGUAACAGUUGUUCAUUGAAACAUCCGGGAACCGAGCCUCGUUGUGAAAAAAGUUCCAUCCUUGGUCCAUGUUUAUACAACUACCACUGUGAGCGCAAUCAUAUUUGUGGACCUAAAAAUAAAUGCUGUUCAGAUUACUGGAAUGACUGUCGUGACGAAACUGAAUGUUGUGACCCAGCACACGUUUGUCUUUAUGCACGUGGAUUUGUGUACAAGAAAUGUCUGUUUGGUCCUGUCCAACUUAAAAGUAUGGCACCUGUAAAAAACUCAUUAUCCGUCAUAUGUCUAUUAAGUAUUUUAUUUUUAUACAUUUCUUUUUAAACGAUUUACAAAUCAAAUGUGUCUCAAUUUUGAAUAUUUGAAUAAAACUUUAAAGAGCACAA
Long non-coding RNA from Mytilus californianus (California mussel), 786 nucleotides. RefSeq lists it as uncharacterized. The transcript is spliced from 3 exons. NCBI's taxonomy places the organism in Eukaryota, Metazoa, Mollusca, Bivalvia, Mytilida, Mytilidae. The record is from RefSeq and is a predicted model, not a curated record.